Molecule: ribosomal RNA, 253 nt
Filed under: uncultured bacterium
Lineage: Bacteria
Description: partial 16S ribosomal RNA
Rfam family: Bacterial small subunit ribosomal RNA
Source: RNAcentral
GACGAACCGUGCGAACGUUGUUCGGAUUCAUUGGGCUUAAAGGGCGCGUAGGCGGCCGCUCAAGUCGGGGGUGAAAUCUUUCAGCUUAACUGGAAAAUAGCCUCCGAUACUGGGCGGCUGGAGGGAGAUAGGGGUGCGCGGAACUUCCGGUGGAGCGGUGAAAUGCGUAGAUAUCGGAAGGAACGCCGGUGGCGAAGGCGGGUCUCUGGACAGUUCCUGACGCUCAGGCACGAAAGCCAGGGGAGCAAACGGG